This 375-nucleotide unclassified non-coding RNA is filed under the name uncultured cyanobacterium. RNAcentral describes it as "partial contains 16S ribosomal RNA and 16S-23S ribosomal RNA intergenic spacer". The stretch from base 1 to 121 matches the Rfam family "Bacterial small subunit ribosomal RNA", at positions 1414 to 1533 of the family's 1533-position model. Lineage: Bacteria; Bacillati; Cyanobacteriota. The record is from RNAcentral.
GGCACGCCCGAAGUCGUUACUCCAACCCUUGUGGAGGAGGACGUCGAAGGUGGGGCUGAUGACUGGGGUGAAGUCGUAACAAGGUAGCCGUACCGGAAGGUGCGGCUGGAUCACCUCCUAACAGGGAGACAACUCAGACGUUGAUGCUUGACCAAAUUUGAUGUUAAGCCAGUGUCCUGUCACUCUAGGUCGAUCGGUACCUCAGCUUUGAGCUUGAGAACGGUGGUGAAGCGAAGCAGAAGUCAGCAGGGCAACCAGCUGAUGGAUGUAAUGCGAAUCUAUUGUUGCUCAAGACUCAAUUUUCAGUUCCUAAACGUUGUCUAGGUCACCCCAUAGCGGGUUUCACCUCCUGGGCCAUUAGCUCAGGUGGUUAGA